Molecule: ribosomal RNA, 456 nt
Filed under: Triticum aestivum (bread wheat)
Lineage: Eukaryota; Viridiplantae; Streptophyta; Magnoliopsida; Poales; Poaceae
Description: partial small subunit ribosomal RNA
Source: RNAcentral
AUGGUGACUGGACAUUCCAUGGGAGGGGCCAUGGCUUCGUUUUGUGCCCUUGAUCUUAUUGUGAGUGCUAAUAUUUGUCUGAAGAAGAUAUGCUUUCAUUUAUUCAGAAGUUUCUCUAUUUUUCAUGAAUUCAUCCUCGUGCUAAAUUCUACUACAAGCUUACGACAUGCUUCUGAUUUUAGCCACCAUAUUGGGCUCGAUAGCCUAGUAUACCCGAUCGAGCAAAUCUGUGACGAUUCUGGUGAAGAACCCACUUGCAGCAGGUCCGUCAGUGGAAAUAGCGUGCAAGACCAUAUCCACUAUCUUGGCAUCUGCAUGCAUUCCGAAUCGCGGGGAUCAUGCAGGAUCGUCGCAGAUGACAAUAUGCUCAGGUACAAAGUUGGCACUGUAGACGGCGCUAUUGUCUUCUCGAAGCAGCCUGGUUUAUCAGUUGAUCAGCUACUCAGUGCACAGUGA